This 292-nucleotide ribosomal RNA is filed under the name uncultured bacterium. RNAcentral's name for it is "partial 16S ribosomal RNA". It matches the Rfam family "Bacterial small subunit ribosomal RNA", at positions 505 to 796 of the family's 1533-position model. The record is from RNAcentral.
GUGUCAGCAGCCGCGGUAAGACAGAGGUUGCAAACGUUGUUCGGAAUCACUGGGCAUAAAGCGCACGUAGGCGGUCUGUUAAGUCAGGUGUGAAAGCCCCCGGCUCAACCGGGGAAUUGCAUUUGAUACUGGCAGGCUCGAGAACGGUAGGGGUGAGUGGAACUCCAGGUGGAGCGGUGAAAUGCGUAGAUAUCUGGAGGAACACCGGUGGCGAAAGCGGCUCACUGGACCGUCACUGACGCUGAGGUGCGAAAGCUAGGGUAGCAAACGGGAUUAGAAACCCGUGUAGUCC